GUAAACGAUGAGUGCUAAGUGUUUGGAGGGUUUCCGCCCUUCAGUGCUGCNAGNNAACGCAUUAAGCACUCNCGCCUGGGGAGUACGACCGCAAGGUUGAAACUCAAAAGGAAUUGACGGGGGCCCGCACAAGCGGUGGAGCAUGUGGUUUAAUUCGAAGCAACGCGAAGAACCUUACCAGGUCUUGACAUCCUCUGACAACCCUAGAGAUAGGGCUUUCCCUUCGGGGACAGAGUGACAGGUGGUGCAUGGUUGUCGUCAGCUCGUGUCGUGAGAUGUUGGGUUAAGUCCCGCAACGAGCGCAACCCUUGUCGUUAGUUGCCAUCAUUCAGUUGGGCACUCUAGCGAGACUGCCGGUGACAAACCGGAGGAAGGUGGGGAUGACGUCAAAUCAUCAUGCCCCUUAUGACCUGGGCUACACACGUGCUACAAUGGACGGUACAACGAGCAGCGAACUCGCGAGGGCAAGCGAAUCUCUUAAAGCCGUUCUCAGUUCGGAUUGCAGGCUGCAACUCGCCUGCAUGAAGCCGGAAUCGCUAGUAAUCGUGGAUCAGCAUGCCACGGUGAGUACGUUCCCGGGCCUUGUACACACCGCCCGUCACACCACGAGAGUUUGUAACACCCAAAGUCGGUGCGGUAACCUUUUGGAGCCAGCCGCCUAAGGUGGGAUAGAUGAUUGGGGUG
This 684-nucleotide ribosomal RNA is filed under the name uncultured Catellicoccus sp. RNAcentral describes it as "bacterial SSU rRNA". It matches the Rfam family "Bacterial small subunit ribosomal RNA", at positions 802 to 1482 of the family's 1533-position model. Lineage: Bacteria; Bacillati; Bacillota; Bacilli; Lactobacillales; Enterococcaceae. The record is from RNAcentral.